AUAAAAGGAGCUUGAAGAGAAGGGCAGGCAGAAGCUGACCCUGCAGGAGAACGACACACUGCCGAGCAAAGGAGCAGGUGGGAUCUGCAUGCCAGAACAGACGGCCUAGUACAGAGGAUCAGGGCAGAGGGAGCCUCUGCCCGCGCCUGUAACUGGGGAUCGAAGAAGGUGUGCUGCAGAUGGGCGGCCUCCACCAGGAGCAUCAUUUCUAAGUGGAGCUCAACCCCUGGUCCUAGUUGGUGACUUUUAAGACAAUUGGUUAAUUGCUGUUUUUAAAGGAAGAAGAAAAGGACUCUUUUAUGGUGCCACUAUUGCUGUGACUGUCCUUCUGUGGAAUAAAUCAUCUUGAACUGGACUGUU
Long non-coding RNA from Fundulus heteroclitus (mummichog), 360 nucleotides. RefSeq lists it as uncharacterized. Lineage: Eukaryota; Metazoa; Chordata; Actinopteri; Cyprinodontiformes; Fundulidae. The record is from RefSeq and is a predicted model, not a curated record. The transcript has 2 exons.